Molecule: ribosomal RNA, 210 nt
Filed under: uncultured Acaulospora
Lineage: Eukaryota; Fungi; Glomeromycota; Glomeromycetes; Diversisporales; Acaulosporaceae
Description: partial small subunit ribosomal RNA
Rfam family: Eukaryotic small subunit ribosomal RNA
Source: RNAcentral
CCAAUAGCGUAUAUUAAAGUUGUUGCAGUUAAAAAGCUCGUAGUUGAAUUUCGGAGUUUGUCGGUUGGUCGGGCUUUACUGUCCGCACUGACCUGAUGAAUUCCUACCUUCUGAAUAACCAGCAUGCUAUUAAGUUAGUGCGUUGGGGAAGCAGAGCUAUUACCUUGAAAAAAUUAGAGUGCUUAAAGCAGGCUUACGCUUGAAUAGAUU